GCCUCUGUAGCUCAGUGGACAGAGCGCCGGUCUUCUAAACCGUUGGUCGCAGGUUCGAGUCCUGCCAGGGGCG
This 73-nucleotide transfer RNA is filed under the name Chloroflexota bacterium. Its description in RNAcentral is "Chloroflexi bacterium tRNA-Arg". It matches the Rfam family "tRNA". Rfam says of the family: Transfer RNA (tRNA) molecules are approximately 80 nucleotides in length. Their secondary structure includes four short double-helical elements and three loops (D, anti-codon, and T loops). Lineage: Bacteria; Bacillati; Chloroflexota. The record is from RNAcentral.